Lagopus muta (rock ptarmigan) is the source of this 6841-nucleotide long non-coding RNA. RefSeq lists it as uncharacterized. NCBI's taxonomy places the organism in Eukaryota, Metazoa, Chordata, Aves, Galliformes, Phasianidae. The transcript has 3 exons. The record is from RefSeq and is a predicted model, not a curated record.
GCAAUAAGUUUCCAUGCGGCUCUGUUAAAACCCUCCAAAGGUGGUGUCCCCUUCUGUUACUAAAUAAGGCCUAAUUAGUUGGUAUUGGGCACUUGCACAACCUGAAAUGCCGGAGUAGUUCUGUGGGUUUUUAUGGAAGUUGCCGGUGCUCGGUUGUUAGCCUACACAGAAAUUCACUAUUUCUGAGUGUUUAAUUGUUAAACAUUCCACGAUUUCAUUAGUAGUAAUAUUAGUUUACUAUAAAUAUUACUCAGUUCAUAGAGAAACAGAUAUUUAAUACUCAUCCCUAUGGUGUUACAAGCUUGUCUCGAGUUAUUUCAGAAAAAUUCUUGGUCUUACACGACACUCAUAAUUUAUAAGGUAUCCAUUACCAAAAACCUUCACCUCCUCAUUCAGGGGCAGACAUUUAUGUUGUGUUUAAAGAUUAACAUUUUAUAUUCCUCACAAUCAGCUCUCAGGAAGAUAAAAAUACAUUAACUCAUCUCAAUCUGUAGAGAUUUUCUCCGAAAGGAGCAAGAAAUCCUAUUGUCAAACUGAAGGCAAAAUAAGGGAUUAGAGUCUCCUAACAACUGCAUGCACAGAGAUGGUUUAAGCUGAAAUUUUACAUAAAAAGGUGCAAAUAAAUGCUUUUAAACAGAACCAGAUUGCAUUUUCUAGCUCUCUCCCAUAAUAAUUGUAAACAGCUUUGAUUUCAAAGGGAAAAUCAGACAAUUAUUUUAUAAUGAGAGGUGUGGUCUAGUGAUUUGAGCAUCAGACUGGCAGCCAAAAACCACGGGAGUUUUAAUCUGGCUCUGACACUGACACCAUCUAUUGCCUGAGGCUAAUCAGCAUGGGCUUGACUGAGAUCUCUCCUAUGGGUGCAGGAGGUAGGGGCUGCUGCAGAAUUCCUGAUGCAAUGAAAGUGAGCAGGAACCCUUCCCUCCGCAGCCCCCAGCUCAUGGCCAGCAUCUCCCUGAGCUGUGGGACAGCGUUCCAGACCAGAGGAAGAAUUUCAACCUAUGCAAGUUCACCCCAGGCGAGCUGAGGUGCAGGAAAGCCAUAGUUGCUAAGUGCUGUCAAUAAAAGCUUUAAAACCUCUUUGCAUAAGCAUGUUUGAGUAGGCCUCCACUUUGAAGAAAGCCUGCUGUUUAGGUCGAGGGGUGAGUAAAGCCAGUCUUGCCUUUAGAACACUCCCGGCACCUGGGGAGAUUUUUAUUUCCUUUAAGCACCUUGUAGUUAAAUUUUUAGUCAUUGUUUUCUUUCUUCCUGUGCGUGCCCAUCCCCCAGUGACCCCAGCUCUUCCCUGUCCUUUGCUUCUGAGCACAAUUCUUCCUGUCUCAUUGGGUUGUCUGAUUUUUUACCCUUGAUUAAUACGAACACAGACAAAACUCUCAUCCUUGGGGAUCUUAAUCGGAAGGUUGAUUGCCUUUUCUUCUUUGCUUGUACACUUUCCAUCACUUUAGGUUCCUUGGGGUCCACAGACAGACUUUAAUUUCCCCCCCUUCCCCCCCAACAUUCACCAUCAUUUUCCUGAUCUUUAUUCGCUUGGGGCUUGACUCCUUCUAAUAUGAAUAUUAGGCAUCUUGCCAUCCCCGAUGACAGAUCGGCUCUUUGAUGUGUCUAAUUAUGAUGGAGAGGGGGCAGAGAAAGCAGGACCUCCUGAAGCCAGGAUAAAUUUGCUGUCCUUAUAAACUCUAAGCAGUAAUAUGCUCCUCUGCUUCCCCUCUUGCAUGUGGCAGCAUCCCAAACUCCUGUCCUGCCCAACCCAAAACCAUUCAGUCAAUGUCCCAUCCAAGGAAAGUUUCCACAUUUGAACCUGCUUAAUUUGAAAGAGAGAAGAUGGUAGAAGGUAGGAGGAAAUUAUGACAGGGAGGGGUCGGGAGUUGGGGAAUGGGGAGUUGGACCUCAGCUUUGCAUGGCAAAAGCAUAGGUGUCUGUCUGAAAGCAAUCUAGUGAGAGGAGCUGGUUCCUCCACCCCACAUAACUUUCCCUCUGUCUUGUUAUGACAGUGACACUCAGCACUCACAUCAGUGCUUUGCAAAACUCAUCAAAUUCUACCUCGCAGUACCUUUCUAAGUUGAAUUUUUAUUUCAUUUUUAUGGAUGCUGUUAAGAGGCAGGAAACACUGCUUUAGGAGCAAGAGGCUUAGAAGCACUCAGUGAUCGAAGUCACUCCUGUUGCUUUUAAGUUAUUUAGGUAUUUUCAGAGAAUCCCAUCCCAAAUUCCUUCCCUUUGGUUAAGAAAAAUAUCUGUGGCAAAUCAGCAACUGGACUCAUUCUGGAGUUUAUGACAGCCAGACCUCAGCUGAACCCAUGGCUUUCCUCCACAACUUUAAACCCCUCUGUCUGGCUAUUUCCAGGGUGCAGCUGCCGUUUUUAGGAGGAGGAAGGAGAGAACGGUGAAGAGAACGUUUAGCACCAACGACUGCUUCAAGUCUGUACUGUUGAACUCAUACUGUUCUCUUUUGCACCUGUAUGCCCACAGAACUGUUGAACAGUUCUUACCUGUACUGCAGUAAUGCGUCAGUGCCAUGUUCAGGACCAGGGCUCCAUUAGUUAAAUGCUUUAUAAACACAUGAAAGGCCGUGGUCUCUGCCCCGAGGUACUUGAAGCCUUGUUAGCAAAUCUCACAGACGUUUCUUAAUAUGAAUUUAUUGCUGAUCUGUCUGCCCCAGAGCCUGAAAUUCUUUAUUUAUCUGCCAAACAGGCAUGGCGGGAGUUUCAGCAUUGCUUCCUCUUAUGAUACCUGGCUAAUGUGCUUCCAGCCUGGCCCACAGUGAUCAUCUCCUGGGAAGAAAGAAUCUUCCUGCCAUUCAGCAUUCAGCCCUUGAUCUUUCUACCAAAAUGGGAAAUCAGUACUGCUGAAAUGAACACUGAUCAACACUGACAAAACCUUUCACCUCAUCUCGUGCAAUAAGCUGGGGUUACGUCUGUGCUGCUGUCCUUCAGCAGAAAGUCUUGAGUGGAAAGUUUCCUACCAUUUCUCUCACCUCUUCACUUUUCAGAGCAAAUGCAGAAGCCUGCUUUAAAUUAAACAGCCAGAAGGUGAAGGGAAGUAAUGUUCUCAUCUACAGAGUGACAGCGUGAAAGGCAGUGGUGAUGGGAUCGCCGUGCAACAGAGGUAGAGCGAGUACAGGGAACAUCUAUCAAUAUUUACUGAGCAGCAUUGUUUUUCCAUUUCGUGUUCCUCAGCCCUUCAUCUUUACAGAGCCCUGCCCUGUAAUAGCUCUGCGCUUAUUGCUCUGCAUUGCCAAACAAGAAACCUACUUCCUGGCUCUGAUAUUUGUUGACAAGGAUGAAGAAGAGUGUGGAAGCCUUUCUCUCCACGGCUCCUCUCCAACCACACCAGAGGAGAGAUUAAUAGUUUCUGAAAGCAUUUCCACCCUGCAGAAAAGGUCACCACAGUGCUGGGGAAGAUGUAUAAACAGCAGUCCAUUGGGACUCUAAUAACAUGGGAAAAACCUCCUCCAGCACAAGAAUAUUACCAAAACAGCUCUACCAGUGGCACCUUCAGAGUGGUGGAGAUAGGCAGGUGAUGUUGCAGGUUAUUAUUUUUCCCAAAGAGUAACACAGUCCCAUCAUUUCUGCAGGUGAUUUUUUAUUUUUUUUUUAACUAACAGCUUUUCUUUGCAGUUUGUCAUGAUGUGGACUGUGAUCUGUGGGGCAAGCUGCUUAGGGCUGUGAGGGAAUAUAUCCCUGUCACUUUAUCGUCUGGAUUCAGUCAGCUGACUUUUGAAUUCGCUCAGUACUGUGAGUUAUGGUGGGAUUUUGCUUUAGCUAUUUUAUGCCAAGUCUAUCAUCUCAAUAUUGCUCUGGCUCUGGACAGUAGAGUUAGCCUGAAUUAACUUGCUAGAUAUUCCUGUGUAUCCUUUUUGUGUUUCACACAGCUUUUGGGGCCUGAUUUACUGAAUACCUUAAUCCAACAGCACUUACUUCACUUUUGAGGCAGAAAAAACCUGCCAGAAAAGCUAGCAGAAGCUUAGUGAGAGCAGCACACAAAUCUUCACGUUGGGUUUUCCACUCAUCGAUUUAAGAUGGGGAGGCUGCAUUGCUAUGUGUUUACAUUCUAACUAAAUUCCAUAUAGAUGAUGUGUAUGCACAGACCUACACACACACAAUACAGUUCGUUAUCCUGAAUCACAGAAUCAAGCUACCUAGGUGCAGUGUUCUUUUAAAGUCAAAAUUGUUGGUGCUCAUAUUGCUGAAAAGAGAGGAAAAAGCAUCUGAAAUGGACUGAUGCAAUUUUGUCAGUUUAUCAUAAACUACCAGACCCAAGCUACGAGAAUAGCUGAUCCUGACAGAUGCUUGCUGUUGGAGUGCCCACAUAGGGAGAAGUCUGCUUGUGAAUCUGGUAGGGGGCACAAAGACAGAAGAAAGUUGAUCUGUUUUAUCCUGUCAAUCUAAGAAUUUACUUUGCAGGUCAUACGUUAUCUGUCUGUUUAUUUAGACAAUGAAACCAUCAGUGUCAUUGAUAGAAUCAAAUAAACCAGUAGAGAUGUUUUCCUUUCUCGGUAUUCUUUGUUGUUGCUGGAGUAUGCAUUUCUGCCACAAAAACCUUUUUAUGGAAAUAAUAUUUUGUUGUGAGCACCACCAUUUUGUUUUGUAAUUAUUAUUUUGUUUUACCCUACUCACACAGAAAACUGUUUGCGCUAUAUUCUAUUGAAAGAUACAUUUUAAGUUAGCUCUGCUAGUCAUGAAUAACGUAAAUUGACAAGAACUGAGGGAGGUAGACAAAGAAACAGAAAGUUAAGUGGUUUCCUUUCUUUUUAUGGCAGAGUGACAUUUACCUGUAAGUACAUUUGAUUUUAACACAAUGGGAUGAGUCUCUGCUGUGCUGGAUUAGGAUUGAGGCUUGUGGAGGAGUUCAGACAAAGAGUGGGCACUGAGAAAUGCCCUCGCCAGACCUCUCCAGGGAGGCUACUUCAGCAGCAAUAGCAUGUCAGAAUGUCUUUUUUUUAGUCCUUGUAUCCAGCUGACAAAAUCUUUCCUCGUUUCUGUAAUUCCAAGAGAUCUCACAAUGUUUCCCCCAGCUGUCUAACAAUCUAAUACUUAGUGCUUGUCACAUCACUUUCCAAAAGGGGGUCAGUGUCACUUCCCACUCUGACAGCCAGGGAAACCAAGGCAAAAGGAACGGACAGAUGAGUGAGGGUCAUUCCAAGACCCACAACCAGUAUGCCUGGUGUGCACACUCACAUUCCCCACAUUCAAGCAGCAGCUACAGAUUUCCCCAGUUCCCUUAUUCCUCAGAUUUGCCAGCACUGUGCAGGUGGAGUCUAGCUCUCUUGCACUCACUCUAGGUUUAAAUCAGAAAUAACUUCGGUGGGUUCGAUUCGCGGUGUUGUAAAUGAGAGUGCUCCCCUUGACACCAGUAGGGAUCAGUUUUAGGUCUGAAAUUGCAUAGCUGCUCUUGUGUCUAAAGACACUCCUUUGGCUCCUUCCUUACUUCUCUGUGUCACCUUUAUUUUCCUCUUUCAUCCAUAACUUUCUAUGAUUCACAAGGCUACUUUGGAAAAGAGAGACAAAAUCUAGUUGGUCCUUCUCUCCAGAUAAUAAGACACAAAAUUAAUCACACAGAAAUGAACACAGAAAACCAAACAGGCAUGAUCAAUAGAUUCCUUUCCCCAACAGGGUCAGAGGUCUGCAGGGACAGAGCAAACAUCCCGUUGCUUCUGCAGUGCCCUGGGUACUGCAAUUAAAGCUGUCUCACGUUCCUUUGGAGAACAUUGUCCGGACUGCCUCCCAGGGCUUUUCUGCCUUUCUGCUCUCCUUUCAGCUUCUCCAAAGGAGAAGGACGGGAUCUGGCUGUUAGUGAAUGUGACCUGUCCCCCCACGUUACUAUUGCACACUACAGGAGAUGGAGGAAGAAGGAACAAAUAAACUAAAUCUGGGAAACUGCAGUCAGCACUGCAAGAAUUUUCUGAUGGAAAUGGAUUUAAAAAGUGCAAAGAAAGAACACCAACAAUGCCAACAUUUAUAAAUUCACAGGACUGAAACAUCUCUGCUUAUCUCGGAAUGAUACUCAGUUUUAGAAACGUGUUAUGUUAAAACAGUAUCACGUUUAACAGUUCUAAAUUGAUACAAUCUGACUUAUUUAACAUGAAAUUUUCAUUCAAACCGUAAUUUUGCAUAGAGUACUGAGCAUUGUGUUUCCAUCAGCAUUAAUCAAGUCAGGUUUAACAUUUAACCUAAUCUGUUCAAAUGUACUGUUACUCUGCUUAUUUAGAAAGUCAGCAUCUGAUAGGAAAUGGCUGCAAUACCUCUAGCUUUCCUAAAAUGCUGACAGUUUCAACCGUUUCUUGAGAAACACUGAGGACUGCAGCUCCAAACAGAUGCUUCUGCUUUAAAAUGAGAUCACCUUCUUUGGGUAAAAUGGAUGGCUCCUUGCAAAUAAAGCAGUGAUACCACUGGCAGAACACAGAAGGUUACCCAAAAAAACUGGGUGACCACCAUACCUUCUUCUUCCUCAAGGUGUGUCUUCACAGUGCUUUUCUUUCCUUGCUGCUUUACUGUUACUGAUGAUGAUUUCUUAAGGACCAUAAUAUAUUUUCUUCAGGCAAGUAUUUCAUGCCAGCACUGGGAACAUGUUAUUUCCAAAGGAGAAUUUCUGCUUCGAAACACCAGCAAUCAUUUACAGCUUUUUAUGUCUGAUAAGCCACUCCUGAUGAAAACUGAUUGGAGCAAAAGAAACCCUCUACAAUGCACAGGAAUACACUGAAAGUUCAAAAUGUCAGACAUAACAGGAAAAAAGAAAAUAAACUUUUUGCAUCCUUCCAGGUCUGGUAAUACCAUUUAUGGAUCAGUGAAAGGAAGAAAGCAGUGGAUUGACAACAGUAACAUGGAAGACAUCAUUUAUUUUUCUUACC